Molecule: long non-coding RNA, 331 nt
Organism: Papilio polytes (common Mormon)
Lineage: Eukaryota; Metazoa; Arthropoda; Insecta; Lepidoptera; Papilionidae
Exons: 3
Source: RefSeq, a predicted model, not a curated record
CUUCUGCCAAGAAUUCAGUCCCCCAGCCUAUUCUGUCGAAACCUGGACCCGCAAAACUUGUACUUGGAAAUUGGUCUCUGUCCUGUAAGAAAGAGAAGGAACUCCUUAUCCACAACACAGAUGGCCAGCAGCAGACAACAAUACUUCGUGAGGAUUUACCUGGUUUUAUAUUUGAAUCUAAUAGAGGAACCAAACACUCCUUUACAGCAGAAACAUUUUUAGGGCCGGAACUAUCGAGUGGCUGGGUGGAUCGAAGAGCCGUGCUGGUUAAUAAUGGUAACAACAGUCAAAAUCGAUCUCGCCUUUCCGCUAAAACUGAAGCACAAAAAAC